Molecule: ribosomal RNA, 500 nt
Filed under: uncultured bacterium
Lineage: Bacteria
Description: partial 16S ribosomal RNA
Rfam family: Bacterial small subunit ribosomal RNA
Source: RNAcentral
AUUGAACGCUGGCGGAAUGCUUUACACAUGCAAGUCGAACGGCAGCACGGACUUCGGUCUGGUGGCGAGUGGCGAACGGGUGAGUAAUGUAUCGGAACGUGCCCAGUCGUGGGGGAUAACGUAGUGAAAAUUACGCUAAUACCGCAUACGAUCUAUGGAUGAAAGCGGGGUAUCGCAAGACCUCGCGCGAUUGGAGCGGCCGUCAUCAGAUGAGGUAGUUGGUGGGGUAAAGGCCCACCAACCCAACGAUCUGUAGCUGGUCUGAGAGGACGACCAGCCACACUGGAACUGAGACACGGUCCAGACUCCUACGGGAGGCAGCAGUGGGGAAUUUUGGACAAUGGGCGAAAGCCUGAUCCAGCCAUUCCGCGUGCAGGAUGAAGGCCCUCGGGUUGUAAACUGCUUUUGUACAGAACGAAAAGGUUUCUACUAAUACUAGGAGCUCAUGACGGUACUGUAAGAAUAAGCACCGGCUAACUACGUGCCAGCAGCCGCCGCAG